Molecule: ribosomal RNA, 986 nt
Filed under: Escherichia coli
Lineage: Bacteria; Pseudomonadati; Pseudomonadota; Gammaproteobacteria; Enterobacterales; Enterobacteriaceae
Description: partial 23S ribosomal RNA
Rfam family: Bacterial large subunit ribosomal RNA
Source: RNAcentral
CAUAGGUUAAUGAGGCGAACCGGGGGAACUGAAACAUCUAAGUACCCCGAGGAAAAGAAAUCAACCGAGAUUCCCCCAGUAGCGGCGAGCGAACGGGGAGGAGCCCAGAGCCUGAAUCAGUGUGUGUGUUAGUGGAAGCGUCUGGAAAGGCGCGCGAUACAGGGUGACAGCCCCGUACACAAAAAUGCACAUGCUGUGAGCUCGAUGAGUAGGGCGGGACACGUGGUAUCCUGUCUGAAUAUGGGGGGACCAUCCUCCAAGGCUAAAUACUCCUGACUGACCGAUAGUGAACCAGUACCGUGAGGGAAAGGCGAAAAGAACCCCGGCGAGGGGAGUGAAAAAGAACCUGAAACCGUGUACGUACAAGCAGUGGGAGCACGCUUCGGCGUGUGACUGCGUACCUUUUGUAUAAUGGGUCAGCGACUUAUAUUCUGUAGCAAGGUUAACCGAAUAGGGGAGCCGAAGGGAAACCGAGUCUUAACUGGGCGUUAAGUUGCAGGGUAUAGACCCGAAACCCGGUGAUCUAGCCAUGGGCAGGUUGAAGGUUGGGUAACACUAACUGGAGGACCGAACCGACUAAUGUUGAAAAAUUAGCGGAUGACUUGUGGCUGGGGGUGAAAGGCCAAUCAAACCGGGAGAUAGCUGGUUCUCCCCGAAAGCUAUUUAGGUAGCGCCUCGUGAAUUCAUCUCCGGGGGUAGAGCACUGUUUCGGCAAGGGGGUCAUCCCGACUUACCAACCCGAUGCAAACUGCGAAUACCGGAGAAUGUUAUCACGGGAGACACACGGCGGGUGCUAACGUCCGUCGUGAAGAGGGAAACAACCCAGACCGCCAGCUAAGGUCCCAAAGUCAUGGUUAAGUGGGAAACGAUGUGGGAAGGCCCAGACAGCCAGGAUGUUGGCUUAGAAGCAGCCAUCAUUUAAAGAAAGCGUAAUAGCUCACUGGUCGAGUCGGCCUGCGCGGAAGAUGUAACGGGGCUAAACCAUG